CGGAGCGUAGCGCAGAGGCAGCGCGCCUGCUUUGGGAGCAGGCGGUCGCGGGUUCGAUCCCCGCCGCUCCGA
This 72-nucleotide transfer RNA is filed under the name Desulfovibrio piger. It matches the Rfam family "tRNA". Rfam says of the family: Transfer RNA (tRNA) molecules are approximately 80 nucleotides in length. Their secondary structure includes four short double-helical elements and three loops (D, anti-codon, and T loops). The record is from Rfam by way of RNAcentral. Lineage: Bacteria; Pseudomonadati; Thermodesulfobacteriota; Desulfovibrionia; Desulfovibrionales; Desulfovibrionaceae.